GGGCCCGCACAAGCGGUGGAGCAUGUGGUUUAAUUCGAUGAUACGCGAGGAACCUUACCAGGGCUUAAAUGUAACGGGACAGAUCUAGAGAUAGAUCCUUCUUCGGACUCAUUACAAGGUGCUGCAUGGUUGUCGUCAGCUCGUGCCGUGAGGUGUCAGGUUAAGUCCUAUAACGAGCGCAACCCCAUCGUUAGUUGCCAACGAGUAAUGUCGGGAACUCUAACGAAACUGCCGGUGCAAACCGUGAGGAAGGUGGGGAGCGUCAAAUCAUCACGGCCUUACGUCCUGGCUACACACGUGCUACAAUGGUCGGUACAGAGAGCAGCCACUACGCGAGUAGGAGCA
RNAcentral lists this ribosomal RNA (345 nucleotides) under uncultured bacterium. RNAcentral's name for it is "bacterial SSU rRNA". It matches the Rfam family "Bacterial small subunit ribosomal RNA", at positions 917 to 1269 of the family's 1533-position model. The record is from RNAcentral.